RNAcentral lists this ribosomal RNA (253 nucleotides) under uncultured bacterium. Its description in RNAcentral is "partial 16S ribosomal RNA". It matches the Rfam family "Bacterial small subunit ribosomal RNA", at positions 524 to 776 of the family's 1533-position model. The record is from RNAcentral.
UACAGAGGGGGCAAGCGUUGUUCGGAAUUACUGGGCGUAAAGGGCGCGUAGGCGGCCUUCUAAGUCGAACGUGAAAUCCCCGGGCUCAACCCGGGAACUGCGUCCGAUACUGGAAGGCUAGAAUCCGGGAGAGGGAUGCGGAAUUCCAGGUGUAGCGGUGAAAUGCGUAGAUAUCUGGAGGAACACCGGUGGCGAAGGCGGCAUCCUGGACCGGCAUUGACGCUGAGGCGCGAAAGCCAGGGGAGCAAACGGG